UUGGCCCAUUCAGUGACGGUCCAAGAGUUGGCCAAGGAUGAGAACAACAAAGCGGCACUUGGUGUUUGCCAAGAGGUGUUGGACUUAGCCAUUGAUGACUUUCAAAAGUCUUUCGACGUGUUAGGGGAAUACGACAUGAGCAAGAUCGGAAAAUACCUUUUGGAACUGAAGACCUGGCUAAGCGGUGCAUUCACGAGUCAACAGACAUGUAUAGACUCAUUCGCGCAAUCAAGUAACGAAUCAUCGCAGAAGAUGCAAUCAAUCUUGAAGACUAGCAUGGAGAUCACUAGCAAUGCUUUGGCGAUGCUUAAUGGGUUAUCCACCAUCGUAAAGGAACUUAACAUUCCAAACGUCGGCAACAUCGACAGCACGGGGUUCAAUCGUAAGCUUUUGUCGGCUGAGGAUAUGCCUGAGUGGAUUAGUCAAGCUGACCGAAAACUCCUUCAAGCAAAACCAAUGGAUUUGAAGCCUAACGUUGUGGUUGCUAAAGAUGGUAGUGGGAAAUAUGAUACUAUUAACAAGGCAUUGGCUGAAGUCCCCGUGAAAAGUCCCGAUCGAUUUGUUAUUCACAUUAAGGCUGGUACUUACAAGGAAAAAAUCAACGUGACCAAGCAGAUGAUUAAUGUUGUAUUCAUCGGUGAUGGCCCAACCAAAACCAUCAUCACAAAUGACAUUAGCGUUGCUAAAAAUCCACCGGUUAGAACAUACCGCACUGCAACUGUUGGUAAGUAGUAUUAUAGACAUAUAUAAGUUUUGGUGGUGUGGUGAGGUGAGGUGGCUAACUAAUAUAUAUGUAUGUAUGUUUGUGAAAUAUUUUAGGUGUGGAUGGGGCUGGUUUCAUGGCCAAGGACAUUGGAUUCGAUAACUCAGCAGGACCCGAAGGUCAUCAAGCAGUGGCUUUUAGGGCAACUGCUGAUAGGGUCAUCAUGUUCAACUGCCAUUUCACUGGGUACCAAGACACUCUUUAUGCUCAUAGAGAGAGACAGUUAUAUACCAACUGUCUCAUUACUGGAACGGUGGAUUUCAUCUUCGGGGAUGCGGCGAGCAUUUUCCAGAACUGUAUGCUCAUCGUGAGGAAGCCAGGGCCUGGCCAAAAUUGCAUGGUUAUUGCACAGGGCAGGAAUGAUCUUGGAACAAACUCAGCCAUUGUGCUUCAAAACUGCACCAUCUCGGGCGCCCCUGAUUACAUCCCAGUGAAGGAUACAAACAAGGCAUACUUGGGGCGUCCCUGGAAACAAUUCGCUAGGUCUAUCAUAAUGCAAUCUCAAAUCGACGACAUCAUUCAACCAGAGGGUUAUGCCCCAAUGACAGGUACCAUAGGAAUAGACACUUCUUUCAUUGCCGAGUUUGGAAAUAGGGGACCCGGUGCUGAUACCAGCCGUAGGGUAGCAUGGAAAGGUAUAAAAAAGAUAGAUAUAAAUGAAGCCAACAAAUGGACUCCUCGCAUCUAUCUUGAAUCUGAGACUUGGAUUCCGAGUUCCGGCGUUCCCUAUAGUCCCAACAUGGUCCCUGGAGUUUAAACAGCUUAUUAUUGAUACCAACGCCAUUAGUAUGCUUAUUAUCAUAUCAUUGUUCUAAUUAUGUCGUUUUUAACUAAUUAAUUAAACAGUUUUUUUAAUCUUUUAUCUAUCUAUGUAUAUAUGUUGAAUUCUUUGGUUUCCCAAUUGUUGUUUCCACUCACUUGAUGUUUGCAAAACCCAAAAAUUAAGUCAACAUUUAAAUAUUAUUGAACUUAAUUUAAUAUAAUUUUUUAAAGAUUAUUUGGAUUGAUAAUGUUGUUUCCCUAAUGUAGACACCUUCCUUUAAAUAGAUUUAAUAAAAUGAUUAUUAUCAAACUUAAUUACAAGAUUUAAUAAAAAUAGUUUAUUAAGCAACAAUUACUAAUAUAAUAUUAAAAAUUAAUAAAAACAAUUAUAUUAUAAAAAAUCAAUCUUAUUUUUUUUAUAUAUAUUUUAUAUAUGGACUUAAGUAAGCAUCCCGCUCAUGGAAUCAAAGAUUUGAUCAAGUGGUAAAGAUUUUUUAACUUGAGCAAAACAAAGAAGAACAUUGUGUUUAUAAAUAUUUAGAGGAUGAAAAGGUGGUCUUUCUCUUUCUAUAUGUCAAGUGAAAUUCCACUAGUUGAGAAUAAUGUAGGGAUAUUGUAACACCCCAUAUCCGUAACCCAAGCCGGGACGGAGUACAAGGCAUUACCUACUUGAUCUCGUACAUUCAAUCCAUUUUAAGUCACCAAGACUCGGUCCAAUUUAAAACAUUUUCAAUUUCUACUUUAAACCUCUUAAUAUAGGCCUAUGAGGCCUAGAUCGACCAUUGGAAACCGUUCGAAAUUUUUCCAGGUCCUUAUCCAAUCUAUGUAAACUUUGCAUUUAAAACAGGGCACACGCCCGUGUGGGAAGGUAACACGCCCGUGUAAUCAUCCUAACAUGGCCGUGUUGAUGACCCGUGUGUUUUACACGGCCUAAACAUCUAGGGACAUGCCCGUGUCCCUUACCCUUGUGGCCAAUUAUUUACACCAUUUUACAAAAUUCAAGUGUAGACUUCACACGGCCUAGACACACACCCGUGUCCCUGGCCCGUGUUGCUCACACGGCCUUGACACACCCGUGCCUUAGCCCAUGUGAGAAAGCUUGAGUAUUCUAUUUCUGACGUCAGCAUACCCACCAUGUCACACGGCCAUAGCACACGCCCGUGUGCUAGGCCAUGUUCUCCAUACGGCUGAGUCACACAGCCGUGUCUCUGCCCGUUUGUUUAUUACCAUGCAUACUGACUUGAAAUUUUUACGUGCAGGGGACACACAGCCUCAUCACACACCUAUGGGGCUAACCGUGUGUCACACACGGCUUAGACACACGCCCGUGUGCCUACCAGUGUGGACAAAAUAAGGCUAUUUACCAAGCCUAUUUGCCACCCCUACCGAUAUAAAUUAACACAAACUCAACCAACACCAAUUCUAGCCUAUACCAUACAACCACUUCAACUACUAUAGACAUUCUUUCAUAAGGCAAUUUACUCAAACCAGGAAAUAUCAUCUUUGCAUAUGAUCAAAAUGAGUGAUAGUCAACAUCAAGGCUAAAUACAAAGUGUGGGGCUUAUCCCAAGCCUACACCUCUAACCAAUGCUUAAGGGCACAAAAUAAUCAAAUCUAAGCCUUAUACAUGCCAUAUUCAAAAAUAUAAAUCCAAUUAUACCGAAGGUUUUGGACGAUAGUGUGAUCGAUAUCUCUGACUCCAAGUGAUCCUUGAGCUAAUUAGGCGACACUAUAAGAAAAUGGAAAGAAAAAGAGGGUAAGCAUAAAAGCUUAGUAAGUUGCAUAUAAAUAAACAUACAACAACAAUUCAUCAAUAGUUGUCAUGCUCAUAACACAAGGAUAAGCAUAAGUAUGACUUACUCAUUACCACCCAUACAAGUCAUGUGCUCUCCAAUGAGCUCAUUUCUCAUAUGUACCAAUUUGGUACUUGUAUCACUUACAACAUGGUUAUGCUUCCAUCAUUAACUAGCAAGCAUACUUGCACCAUUGAACCAAUGGGUACACUACUGGUCAUUCUAUAAACCUUGAUCUAGGGAUAAAGUGCCGAUGCUAUGUCCCAGACAUAGUCUUACACUGGCUCAAAUCUCAAGUCGAUGCCAUGUCCCAGACAUGGUCUUACACUGACUAUCAUUAUCGAGGCCGAUGCGUGUCCUCGACACGUCUUACUCUAGCCCUCGUAUCAAUGUCGAUGCCAUGUCCCGGACAUGAUCUUACACUGGCUCUCAUAAUGUGGCCGAUACAUUUUCCAGACAUGUCUUACACUAGCUCACAUAAGGGACCCGGAUGUCUCAGUUUGAACAUCCGGUUCAUUUCCUAGUAUUUUAAAGGAAUCUCUGCCAUCUCAUUGUUCUUAUGCAUUCUCAAUACUUAAUUAAGCAAUUCAUGCUAUAUCCAUUCCAUAACAAUUAGACACCUAUUUUAUUGAUAUAGUUGCAUUAUUUACAUACAACUUACCUCAGUUUACAAAAUGUACUCGACUAGUUGGUUUAGUCGAUUUGCUUGGCUUUCCCCUGGUCUAGAUUCGGUUUUUGAAAAACUUGAUCUAGAAUAAAAAAUGCGGUCGUUUAGUCACUAAUUAUAAUUAGGCUACUGUAAAUUCACAUAUUUGAUAAAAUGACCAUUUUGCCCUUAGACUUUGGCAAAAUGACCAUUUUACCCCUAUGAUCGAAAAUUAAUUUUUAUCAAAUUUAUUCGUAUUUCAAGCCUAGCCGAACUCUUUCUACUCUUGUAGAAACCCCAAAAUCCCACUAUUUCACACACUUAUCACCUAUUUUGCAACUUAUGCAAAAUAGCCCAUUUAGGUGUUUUCAUGCUAACACCUUUCACAAAAGUUGUUAAGAAAUCUUCUAAGACUCAUAUUCUUCCAUAAAAACUCAGAAAACAUCACAAGUCCAUCCAUGAAAAAACCCUAAACUCUUAAUCAUUUUUCAAAAUAGUCCCCUCAUAUGAAAGCUCAUGCUUUAGGGGUUCCAAAAAUAUAAAAAUCAUCAACUAAGGACAUGGAAAUCACUUACUUGUUGAGGUGAUAAGUUGCUGAAAUUUCAAAGCUUCAAAACCCCUCUUUUUUUGAUAUUUUCGGUGGAGAGAAGGUGUGGAGAAGAAAGAAAAUAAUAGCUAAGCUCAUAGGUAUUAUUUUAUCACAAAAUUAUGUCAUCAAGCCACCUAAUAUUGACCUUUUUUACUAAACUUGUCUCCUAUGGUCGGCCACCUUUUUUCUAGGGUCUAAUUUCUCUUUAAAGGCCCUCAAUUUUAGUUCUCUAGCUAUUUAACACAUUUGGGGUACUAAAAUGCAACUUUUUCCCUUUUUGCGAUUUAGUCCCUUUUAGCAAUCGGGCUCGCAAAUAUCAAAAUUAACUCACCAAAUUUUUCAUACACUAAUAUAAUCAUGUUAUAACCUUAUAAUAAAAAUAAAAAUAAUUUUCCAAACUUCAAAUUUAUGGUCCCGAGACCACUGUUUCGAUUAGGCUCUAAAUCGGGCUGUUACAGAUAUUGUCAUCGUUUAAACUAUAGUUAACCCAACAGUUUAGGAUGAAGGACUUGGAAGAAGCUAAUUUUGUUCUCAGUAUUCAAAUUCUAAGGGAUUGAAAGAACAAAGUGAUGGCACUAUCGCAAGAUUCACACAUAGGCAAUAUAUUGUAGCGCUAUGUUAUAACUGAUUCGAAGAAAGGUAAUCAAUCUUCUAAUAUCGAGAAUUCACCUCUUUUUGAGGGAUUGUCCUAAGAUAUCAGAAGAAAAUGAGAACAUAAGAAGGGUUCAUUAUGCUUCAACAAUAGGAAGUCUCAUGUAUGCUAUGUUGUGCAUGCAAUCGGAUAUCUAUUUUACAGUAGGUUUGGCGAGUCGAUAUCAGGUGAAUCCAAGACUAAGACACUGACAAAUAGUUAAUACAGUUAAUAAUGAUCAAUUAAUAGAAAAUAUUAGGUUUUGCUGCUGGACUCGUCCGUCAGCUUAGUCAAGAUGCAUUGAUAGGCUACUUGUAGUUCAUUUCUAUUUGUAUUAGUCAAACACCCAUCAUGCCAUUCUAUCUAUCUAGGAUUGUUUCUUUCUCUAAAUUUACCUUUUCAGCCUACUUUAAUGACUGACAACUCUUUUCAUAGGUCACAAUGAUUGAUGAUUUGCAAUGCCACAUGAUUACACAACCACAGUAGCCUGCACUUAGCAUUUUUUGCCUCGUAAGAAAGGUGAAAAGUAUGGUUUAAACUUGUCACUUAUCAUGUCUCUACUUGUGUCGUUGCUCCAAACUGGCUUUUCAGAUAUACUCGAGGUAAUGGUUGGCACAGGUGUUGCUAAAUGAAUUAGCAAGGGAAUUUGUACUAAACUUCCUAAAUACCAGAUCUGAAAAAUUUUAAGUUCUUCAAUUCUUGGUUUACUGCAUUGCUUCAUUCGUUGACGACAUGUCUCUUGCAAUGUUAGUGCACUCUGCGAUGCUUGCCGUUCAACAUCUAUACUUGUUAACUGCCCAACUUGAUUGAGUCAUUCUAUAUAAGCAUAAGUUCUAUCUAUCUAUCUAUCUAUAUAUAUACAUAUUUCCAAUUUUGUUUAACAUCCAGAAAAUUCCUUGACCUUCAAAUCCCCAAGGUUCAUGGUUAAAGUCUAAAGGCAUGCAAAGCCUAAUCAAUUCAAGUUUAUCAAUUGGGUCUAUUAUUUUUUUCCAUUUUUGCCUUAAAAAUUCUUGUAUCAAUAGACACUCUUCUACUAGCUCGACCUUAAUUACCAAUGUUUCUAUUGGUUGAUUUGCAUUAUGCUGCUACUGUAUUUCAAAUUUAUUGGUACAAUCCAAUGGUUCUAAGACAAUGAGUUCCAUGAUGGUCUAAUUCUUUAGCUUGCUAGCCAUUUUCCCCACUAGCUCUAUGUCUUCCCCUUCUGUAGUGGUGUUCAACUCAUUUAGAUACUUUUUUGUCUGCUGAUAUGAGUAAUAGUCUAGGAGUUCUCCUUCUUCACAAGCGUCUAUAAUGUCAUUCUCUUCUUUUCUCAACUUCGGACUUAGCACAUCAUGGUACCUUUCUGAUGGUAUAUCAAUAUGGUUGUUAUUAUCUUGGGAAAGAUCUAGGGUUUCUCUUCGAAGUUGACUUAAUUCGAGUAAGAGUAAUCAUUGAAUCUCUUGGAUCUCCUAAUCUUCAUACACUCCUUCUUCGUAAGUAUUUUGAUCAUAAUCAAAGUCUUCGUCGAACCACGUAUAAUAAAAAUAAUCCAUGGCUUUGUGCUGACUGGUUGUUUUGUGCCUAGGAUUCCUAAGAAUAAACAAAUGUAAUUAACAAAAUAAUUUGAAAGUUGUAACUAUAAACCACAAAUUUCCUAAUUAUUCUUUUAAAAUGAAAAAAAUUAAAAUCAAUCUAGUGACAUUGCCUCCCCGGCAACGGCGCCAACAACUUGACCGCCUUUAGACGUACUAACGCCCAGAGUGUGAAUACUGCAAUAAAAUAGAUAAUUACGAUAUAGUAUCAACAACUAUAUGGGUCGAGUUGUAAUAUAGUUUUUACAAUGAAGUAGGUGAGUACUCCGAUGAUCGUACCCAAGAAAAGCAAGUGUUAGAUUAAUUCUAACCUAAAUACCAAAAGAUCUAAUUAGCACUUUAAAUAAAUUAUAAUAUGAAAGUAUAUAAAAAAGGGUUUUUUAAGGUUUUUAAUAAUAAUAAAAUCAAAUAACAUAAAAGAAAUAAAACUUGUUAGAAUUAAGUGACCCAAAUUCUUAUUUAAAUAAAAUACGAUGGAAAAUAAAAUAAAAGUAAAAUCCAUAUAGAACUAGACUUCUUUUAUUUUAUUUUAGAAUAAGGUUUUUUAAACCUUAUUAAACUUCAUCUAUUUUAUAUUAAUUAGUGUAACAACCCUCGCUCGCAUCCGACGCCGGGACGGGGUUCGAGGUGCUACCUGACUUUUACUAACACUUCCAUACUAAACAGGGCCAUGAAAUCUCAAAUAAUUAAAAACUUUUAUUUUCACAUACAAUCUGUCCCAUAUACGGGCUUACGAGGCCCAAAACAUACAUCCGGAGUGGUUCGGGACCCAACCGAGAACUCAUGAAAAACUUAAAAAAUCUCUUGCAUCAAGGCUUCAUACGCCCGUGUGGGUAUAGAGCACACGCCCGUGUGCUAGGGACACACCCGUGUCCAAAAACCUGGACAAAUACAAGGCUAUUUUCCAAGCCAUUUUGUCACACUCACAAUAGAUACACGCAUGCUUAUACAAUAACAUACAACAUGGCAAAAUUAGGUACUUAAACAUUCCUAACAUGUCAUGAUUAUGGCAAUUUCACAUGCAAUAGAUAUCAUAGAUUUUACUCACAUCUUUACCACAUUCAUACUAUAAUCAUUAUAAACUCAUCACAUAAUACCAUAGCACAUGCAUGCAUAAUUAAAAUAGAUUUACAACCCCAUAAUCAAAAUAGGCCAACACAUAUGAUUAAAGCCAAUCACAUACUCUAAUAUUUAAACUCCUAUACAUGCCGGAGGCUCAAAGUACUUGAAAUCACUACACCAAUAGCGUUAGCUUGACAGUGUGAUAAUAUCUCUGACGGCCUCCAGCUCGAGCUAACUUGGAAACUCUAGAAAACAUGGAAAAGAAGAGGGGGGUAAGCUUUCGCUUAGUAAGUUCAUAUGAAAAUAAUAAGCACUCAUUAACUUGUUUUAUCAAUGUUUACAACAUAUUCUCAAGUUCACUACAAGCUGUCUUUCUGACCAAUGGUCACUAAAUUAUUUAUAUAUGGAGAUACGAAACUCCGAAUUAAGUUCCGUUAAUUUUCCCUGAAACUAGACUUAUUUUAAUUUCUUCCAUAAAAUUUUCAGAAUUUUUGGUUAAGCCAAAUAGUACAGUUUAUUUCUCAAAGUUACCCCUAAUUCACUGUCUGACAGUUCCGACCCUUUUGUACUAAGGUUCAAUUAUCUCAUAGUACAAGACUUGAAUAAUAUUCUCGUCUAUUUCUAUUGAAACUAGACUCAUAUGUAUACUUACUAAUUUUUUUCUAGAAUUUUUGGUCAAGCCAUUUAGUACAGUUUAUUAGUUAAAGUUUCCCCUAUUUCAGGGUAUGACUACUCUGACCCUUGUGCACUACAAACCGAAUUUGUUUUCCUUAAAAAUAUACUCAAUAAGGAAUCCAUGCAUGUAAGUUAUGACUCUUAAUAAUUUUUUUAAAAUUUAUGGUGAAUUUCUAAAGUCAGAACAUGGGAUCUUGAAUUCAUUCAGACCCUGUUUCACAAGAAUUCAAAUAUCACACAAUAUGGAAUUCUUUUUGUUCCCCUAUUUAUUUCAUGUGAAAAUAGACUCAUUAAGCUUUAAUCCCAUAUUUUAUUAUGCCUCUAACUCAUUUUACACUAUUUUUAGUGUAUUUUCAAAGUUACACUACUGCAGUAACUCAAAUCUGUCAAGGCUAAAUUACUCAUUCAUGAUCAUUGUUCACAAAAUUAAUACAACAUCGUUUGUAUAAUAUCACCGAGACAUUCAUAUCACAUUUUCAUUUACCAUCUUACCAUAUUGUUGUUAUGUUGAGUUUUCAACCCAAGGGUUAAGUACAUACCUGUUCAAAGUAUCCAUUUCACAACAUUUAUCAAUACAUCCCUUUCAUCUCGAGUAUUCCUCCAUUUGAGUAGAAUUUUACGUGUUGAACACAUCGGAAUAUAAUUCGGAUACAUGGAAAGUUUGCACAUAAGUGCCACAUAUGUAGCCAAGCUACCAUGUAACCCGCCCAUAAGUGAACUCGGACUCAACUCAACGAGCUCGGGCGUUCGCAUCCAUAAGUGAACUCGGACUCAACUCAACGAGCUCGGAUGCCUAGUUACAUCUCACGAACUCGGACUCAACUCAACGAGUUCGAACGUUCGCAUCCAUAAGUGAACUCGAACUCAACUCAACGAGUUCGGAUGCUCAACCAUCCUAGUGACAUGUCAUUUGUAUCCUAAUCUAUUCCUAAGGUUCAAACGGGAUUUUCCUCGAACACAUAUCCUUGCCAUCUUCCGUAAAAUAACAGAUAAUACACAUAACUUGCAUUUUAUUCGAAAAUAACCACAAAGCAUAUAUUUCAUGAUAAAAAUCAGCAUAUCAUAUAUUUAACAUCAAUAACUUAAAAAUAACAAUUAUGCUACAUUAUUUACACAUGAACUUACCUCGAUACCACAAAGGUGAAAAAAAAAACGUAAUUAUCCCUUAAUCGAUUUCUUUCCGUUCUAGGUCCAAAUCUCGAUUUUCAUCAUCUAAAAUAUCACAUUCAACUUAUUAAAACAAUGUACUGAUCAAAUUAGUCCACUGACACACUUGGGCAAUUUUUACAAUUUUGCCCCUAUAUUUUGCCAAAACUACCAGAUUACCCCUAGGCUCGUAAAAUAAUUUUUAUCACAUUUCUUUACUCUUGAGUCUAGAUGAACCAUUUUCAUAACUGUAGCAACUCAUAAUUUCAACUAUUUCACACAUUUACAACUCAUUUUACAACUUAGCAAUCUAGCCCUUUUUAAGGUGUUUUCAUGCAAUUUCUUUCAAAAAAGUUGUUUAUUAGACAACUAGGACUCAUAAUCUUCCAUAAAAAAUACAGAAAACAACACAUUUACUCUCAUGGAAAAACCCUAGACUCUUCAUCAUUUUGCAAAAUAGACCACUCAUAUGAAAGCUCAUGCUUUAGGGGUUCCAAAAAUGUAAAAAUCAUCAAGCAAAGACAUUAAAAUCACUUACAAGCAAGGGAAAUAUGUUUCUGAAAUUUUCCAGCUUCAAAGCCCUUUCUUUGCUGCAUAUUUCGGUGAAGGAGAAGAGAAAAAUGAUAGCUUUUUCUUUUUGAUUUGUUAAUAAUAAAACUAGUCAAAAUUGGUGACCAAAUUUCACCUAAUUUUGACUUUUCAACAAUUUUGUCUCCCAUGGCCGUCCAUCACACUUUCAAUGGCCUAAUUUCACUUUAAAUACCCCCAAUCUAAGAUACAAGGCAAUUUAACACCUUUAGGUAUUAAAACACAACUUUUACCUUUUACGCGAUUUAGUCCUUUUUCGAAAUUGGACUAGAAAUUGCUAAAAUUAACUUACCAAAAUUUACAUGCACUUAUAAAAUUAUAUUAUAGAACAUAAAAUAAUACUAAAAAAAUUUUCUCUAGCCUCGAAAUAGUGGUCCCGAAACCACUGUUUCGACUAGGCCCAAAAUCGGGCUGUUCCUAAUUUUGACUUUUCAACAAUUUUGUCUCCCAUGGCCGGCCAUCACACUUUCAAUGGCCUAAUUUCACUUUAAAUACCCCAAAUUUAAGAUGCAAGGCAAUUUAACACCUUUAGGUAUUAAAACACAACUUUUACCUUUUACGCGAUUUAGUCCUUUUUCAAAAUUGGACUAGAAAUUGCUAAAAUUAACUUACCAAAAUUUACAUGCACUUAUAAAAUUAUAUUAUAACACAUAAAAUAAUACUAAAAAAAUUUUCUCUAGCAUCAAAAUAGUGGUCCCGAAACCACUAUUUCUACUAGGCCCAAAAUCGGGCUGUUACAGAUUAGGAUAAGGUGUUUCAAUCCUACUAGAAUAUGGCUUUACAAGCCUAUAAAUAGACAUAGUCUAUUCCUCUUGUAUUGAUUCAAUUUUUUGACAUAGUAAAUUUUCUUCUCCUCUGCCCGUGGUUUUUUCCCGAAAGGGUUUCCACGUAAAAUUUGUGUGUUCUUUAUUUUUAUUUUAUUUUAUUUUAUUUUCAAAUUGGUAUCAGAGCUUCCGGGUAAUUCAUCUCGAUCACGGUAAUGGCAUCUUUGAAGUAUGAAAUUCCGCUGUUGGAUCGCAACACUAGAUUUGCGUUGUGGCAAAUUAAGAUGCAAGCAGUUAUUGCACAAAUGGAUCUGGAGGAUGCCCUGCUAGGGAUAGAUAAGAUGCAUCUGCAUUUGUCCAACAAAAUUUUGCAGGAUGUGAUGAAAGAGAAGACUGCCGCUGCAUUAUGGAAGAGGUUAGAACAAAUAUGUAUGUCAAAAACUCUAACAAGCAAGUUGCAUAUGAAGCACGUCUUUAUGCUCAUCGUUUGGAGGAAGGUGCAUCUGUACACGAACACUUAACAGUGUUUAAAGAAAUUCUCUCAAACUUGGAGGCCAUGGUGGUUCAGUAUGAUAAGGAAGAUCUAGGGUUGAUUCUACUUUGUUCGUUGCCCUCGUCUUAUUCAACCUUUAGAGACAUGAUUUUAUAUAGCCGCGAAUCUCUCACAGUUGAUGAGGUUUAUGAUUCUUUAACCUUGUAUGAUAAGAUGAAGUAUCUUGUGGUUAAACCCGACUCUUAGGGAGAGGGUCUCAUUGUUCGUGGGAGACAAGAUCGGAAUGCUGAUGAUGAUCGUGGUAGGAUACAGGAACGAAAUCCUCGUGGUAAAUCUAAAGGUAGAUCGAAGUCUUCAAAUAGAGGUAAAACUUGUAACUUCUGCAAGAAGAAAGGACACAUUAAAUCUGAGUGCUAUAACCUACAAAAUAAGAUUAAAAGGGAGGCUGUGAAUCAAAAGGAAAAAUAACCAGAAAAUUCCGAUGAAGCUGAUGUUGUAGAAGAUUACAGCGAUGAUGAACUUCUAGUUGCUUCUAUCAAUGAUUCUAAAGUAAGCGAGAAAUGGAUACUUGAUUCAGGCUGCACCUUCCACAUGAGUCCCAAUCGAGAUUGGUUUACAACUUACAAAACAAUAUCUGAAUGUGUUGUUUUGAUGGGAAAUAAUGCUUCGUGUAAAAUCGCAGGUGUUGGAAUAGUUAAAGUUAAGAUGUUUGAUGGAGUUGUCAGAACAGUUAUGAGGUACGACAUGUUCCAGAAUUAAAGAGAAAUUAAAUUUCGUUGAGUACUCUUGAUUCAAAAGGGUACAAAUAUACAGCUGAAAGUGGGAUUUUAAAGAUUUCCAAAGGUUCCCUUGUUGUGAUGAAAGGGCAAAGAAAAACUUCCAAGUUAUAUCUUUUGUAGGGUUCUACUAUUACUGGUGAUGCAGCUGUCGCUUCCUCUUCCUUGUCAGAUGAUGAUAUUACUAAAUUUUGGCAUAUGCGCCUAGGGCAUAUGAGUGAGAAUGACAUAGUAGAAUUGAGUAAAAGAAGACUUCUUGAUGGGCAAGGAAUUUGCAAACUAAAUUUCAGUGAGCACUGUGUUUUUGGGAAGUAAAAGAGAGUUCGAUUCACUAGAGGAAUCCAUAACACGAAGGGAAUAUUGGAGUAUAUUCAUUCUGAUCUGUGGGGGCCAUCCAGAGUGCCUUCGAGAGGUGGAGCUAAUUAUAUGCUAACCUUUAUUGAUGAUUUUUCCAGAAAAGUUUGGGCGUUCUUCCUGAAGCAGAAAAUCGAUGUGUUUUCCGCAUUUAAGUCUUGGAAAAUUAUGAUUGAAAAUAGACGGGAAAACAGAUAAAAUACCUCCGCACAGACAAUGGCUUAGAGUUCUGUUCUGAUGAGUUUAAUAGAUUGUGCAAGUCAGAAGAGAUCAUGAGACACUUGACAGUUCGUCAUACUCCACAGCAAAACGGCAUUGCAGAACGAAUGAACGGAACGAUCAUGGAGAAGGUUCGAUGUAUGUUGUCAAAUGCCAACUUAUCGAAGUCAUUUUGGGCAGAAGUAGCCUCUACUGCAUGUUUUUUAAUUAACCGAUCUCCAUCCGUUGCCAUUGAGAAAAAGACUCCACAAGAGGUAUGGUCUGAUAACCCUGCUAAUUAUUCUAAUUUAAAGAUUUUUGGGUGUCCUGCGUAUGCUCAUAUUGAUAAUGGAAAAUUAGAACCGAGAUCCAUUAAAUGCGUUUUUCUUGGUUAUAAAGCUGGUGUAAAAGGGUAUAAGUUAUGGUGUCCUGAAAAUAGAAAAGUUGUGAUUAGCAGAGAUGUUGUUUUUGAUGAAACUGCUAUGCUACCUAAGUUAUCUCUUAAAGAAUCUUCCAAUAAAGAAAAUCAAAAACAGGUGGAGCAUCAGAUUAAUACAGAGUCAACUCCUCAAGCCAGAACAAAAGUUGAGAAUAUAGUUGCUUCUUCACCACAAUACUCUAUCACCAAAAGCAGAACUAGAAGAGAAAUUAAACCUCCAAAGAAGUAUGCCGAGGCUGAUCUAGUUGCUUAUGCUUUAAAUAUUGCUGAAGAUAUAGAUACGAAUCAAGAGCCAUCUAAUUAUUCUGAGGCGGUUAGCUGUGAAGACUCAAAAAAGUGGAUGUUUGCUAUGCAAGAAGAGAUGGAAUCACUCUACAAAAACAGAACAUGGGACCUUGUGAAACUUCCUAAAGGUAAAAAAGUUGUUCGUUGUAAAUAGGUGUUUAAAAGGAAAGAAGAGACUCUAGGAGUUGAAGAACCCAGAUAUAAAGCAAGACUUGUUGCAAAGGGUUACAGUCAAAUUUCAGGAGUGGACUUCACAGAUGUGUUCUCUCCAGUUGUUAAGCAUAGUUCGAUUCGAUCUUUGCUUGGUAUUGUGGCCAUGCAUGAUUUGGAGCUUGAGCAGUUAGAUGUAAAAACUGCAUUUCUGCAUGGAGAACUUGAGGAAGAUAUUUACAUGCAACAACUAGAGGGUUUUAUUGUCUUAGAAAAAGAGGACUAUGUUUGCUUGUUGAAAAAGUCCCUUUACGGUUUGAAACAGUCACCAAGACAGUGGUACAAGAGGUUUGAUUCCUUUAUGACUUCUCAUGAUUUCAAAAGUAGUUUUGACAGUUUUGUUUACUUUAAGAAAAACAGUGAUGGUUCUUUUGUGUAUCUACUUCUUUAUGUUGAUGACAUGUUGAUAGCAGUAAAAGAUAAAGGAGAGAUAAGAAAUGUCAAAACACAACUAAGUAAAGAAUUUGAGAUGAAAGCUUUAGGACCAGCAAAGAAUAUACUUGGAAAGGAGAUUCUCAGAGAUAGAAAAACAAGUAAAUUGUACCUAAGUCAGAAGAGGUACAUUGAGAAAGUUCUUUGCAGGUUCAAUAUGCAGAGUGCUAAGCCUGUUAGUAAUCCUUUAGCAGCCCAUUUCAGACUUUCAUCAGUUUUGUCUCCACAAUCAGAUGAUGAGAUUGAGUACAUGUCACAUGUUCCAUACUCUAGUGCAGUGGGAUCUCUCAUGUAUGCUAUGGUUUGUUCACGUCCAGAUUUAUCAUAUGCAGUCAGUGCAGUUAGCAGAUACAUGGUGAAUCCUAGUAAAGAACAUUAGAAAGCAGUUUAGUGGAUUCUAAGAUACUUACGAUGUACUACUGAUGUUUGCUUACAGUUUGGAAGAACUAAAGAUGGAGUCAUAGGGUAUGUUGAUGCUGAUUUUGCUGGAGACCUUGAUAAAAGAAGAUCUCUCAUAGGUUAUGUCUUUACAAUCGGAGGUUGUGCAAUCAGUUGGAAAGCUACUUUGUAGUCUACAGUCGCUUUGUCUACCACUGAAGCUGAGUACAUGGAGAUUACUGAGGCUUGUAAAGAAGCUAUUUGGUUGAAGGGACUCUUUAGUGAACUCAAUGAAGACCUUCAAAUCAGCACAAUAUUUUGUGACAGUCAGAGUGCCAUCUUUCUUACAAAAGAUCAAAUGUUUCAUGAGAGAACAAAACACAUUGAUGUUCGGUAUCAUUUUGUUCGUGAUAUUAUUGCUCGUGGUGAUAUUGUUGUGAGCAAAAUUAGUACUCAUGAAAAUCCUGCAGAUAUGAUGACUAAGUCACUUCCUAUAACCAAGUUUAAGCAUUGCUUAGACUUGAUUGGUGUUCAUUGUUGAAGUUAAACCCUUAAGGGGUUUUAUGGAAGAGGUGGAGAACUUGUUUAUUGAAAGUUCGCAAUGAAGAACUUGUUCAUUGAGAAUUUGUGUCAAGGUGGAGAUUGUUAGAAUUAAGUGACCUAAAUUCUUAUUUAAAUAAAAUACGAUGGAAAAUAAAAUGAAAGUAAAAUCCAUAUAGAACUAGACUUCUUUUAUUUUAUUUUAGAAUAAGGUUUUUAAACCUUAUUAAACUUCAUCUAUUUUAUAUUGAUUAGGAUAAGGUGUUUCAAUCCUACUAGAAUAUGGCUUUACAAGCCUAUAACUAGACAUAGUCUAUUCCUCUUGUAUUGAUUCAAUUUUUCGACAUAGUGAAUUUUCUUCUCCUCUGCCCGUGGUUUUUUCCCGAAAGAGUUUCCACGUAAAAUUUGUGUGUUCUUUAUUUUUAUUUUAUUUUAUUUUAUUUUUUUCUCAAAACUCAAUAGAUAGAAGAGUAGAGUAAAUCAAAUAUUGAUUAUGGGUGAUUAGCUCGCUUUAGUAAUCCUCAUCAGCUAUCACUUCGGGUUCCUCGUCAAUCAACUAGUCGCUACCCUAGCAGGAUCUUCUGGUCUUCCACUAACAUAACAAGUCAGCAAGAACUACUUAUCUUUUGACCUCACAGUUUAGGUUGGUUUAGGGUAAAGGUGUUCAUGAAUGGAAAGUACCAAUUUGGAUUAAUUCCCACCUUGAUGACUUUUCGGGGUUGCCAAGCCUAGGGUUUGUUUUAUGUUCUUCCUUUUCCAAAUAGUUAAUCCGUUGAGUAACCCUACAAAAUAGUUAAUAGAUCAUACAUCCACUCGCUAAUCCCCCAUAAAGGGAUUAGUUCCUCAUGGCUUUCAUAGACAAUAUGAAAUCAAUAUAAAGAGAAAACAUACUAAUUAAAACGAUAAGAUAAAGUAAAUGAAAGAGUCUGAUUGUAUUGAUGUCAAUUGUGAAUCCCCAAUGUUUGAAUGCUUCAACAAUUUAGAUCUCUUGAAAUCAACAAAAACAACCGAAAAAAAUCUAAAACCUAAAAACGAAAAAAAUUUACACUGAAUUUUACAAAGAGAAUUUAGGCCAAAGGAUUGAUGUCCAUAACAAGUGACAAAUGAGUCUAUUUAUAGCCUUCAGGUGGCUAUCAUCCUUAACCCUGGGUUAGCUGAUGUUCCCGAGCUUGAAUGUUUAAUUGUAUAGACCAAAAUACCCUUACUUCGUGUUUUGAUUUCAUCACAGAGUCGAUGUCGUGACAUACUAGGAACUGUAUCGCGACCUAGCAACCAAUAUACUCCUCUGUAGCUAUCUUCAGUCUGUGCCUCGACACCUUUAGUCUGUGUCGUAUUGAUGGUAGUCUUGAAAUUUCUUCAUUUUGCUUAUUAUGUUGCAACAUCAAGCAUCGCAUGUUGUAACAUAGCGGCCAAUAUUAGUUUAGUACACCUUCUAAAGGUCUUCUGCACACUCACCAAGUGCGUUAGCUAUCCCUUAGGCCUUAUUCUACCCAUAAGGUUAAUAAAAGACUCAAUUUGCACAUUUUAUUAAAAGUAAAUAAAACUUAACUAAAACGUAACGAAAAUGCUUGUAUUCAAACUCUUCAAAUACGAAAACUAGUUUGAUCUGCUACACCGAAUUAUGAUAGAUCAGUUAUGCAUGCAAAAUAUAAAAGACAUAAAAUGAAAUUAACUUCAUUUAUUUAUUCAUCAUUCAAUCAAUAGAAAACAAUUAUAUGUUCACCACAAUGUGGGCGCAUUUCCCAGCACUCUACUAGUAAGGACGUCAAGACAUUCACGUCGUCGAGAAGAGCUUUCGUUUCUCAUCGGGACAAGACUAACUGUUUGGGCCUAAUAGAAGCAUUCUCCACAUAUUUGAUGAAACAAUUUAAAUUUAAAUUUAUUUUAUUGUGGUUUUUGGGACUAUAAUUUUUUAAUUUUGGGUUAUGGCAUGGGUUCUUUUUAAGUUCGGAUUUUUGCAUGCAUUCAAUUUCAUUAAACUGAACAAGCCAAAUUAAUCUUCUUAUAGAAUAUGGUUUAAAGUAAUAACUGAUGGUUUCACUUUUUUCGCUGCAAAACAAGAGUUUUGAAAGUAAAAUGACAAAACAAAAAUCAACUAAGUUUACCCAAAAAUGUCACAACACAUAUUAAAUUUGGACUCUUAAGUUUAAAUCGAUGUAAAAUCUUAUGUUUUUGCUAAAUAUAUGAUACUACUCUAAGUUUUCUAAAAAUCAUAAAAAUAAAAGUUAUGAAAACUGAAUUGUUCUAUUAGGCAAUUUCGGUGGCCAAUGUAACUUUUAUGAUCCAAUCAUAAUGUCCAGUUUGAGUUAGGGAAGUUACAGUUACGGGUGAAAAUUUCAAGCAAUUGGAAAAAGAUGGAGUUGAACAGGUGCUCACGAGAGAAGAUGGCUAGAGACAACUACUGCUAACGGCGGGGAAUUGGAAAAAAAAAUUAUUGACAAGCAAGUUUUGUCGAAUAUGAGUGAAUAUGUUGAAUUAUGGGUUGGUGAUGGUAGAAAGUCAAAUAUUGAAGGGGACAUGAAUGGGGUGACGUUGUUUAGUACUGAUAACAUGGGUGUAAACGAGACUAUUAAAGUGGGAGUAAAUAACUGAGGCAAGGAAAGUAAGUGUUGGCAAGUCCAAUUUCAAGAUGGAUCGGAUACUAGCGGUGGGCCAUUCAGAUGGGAAGAAGGUUACGUUGAAAUAGCUGAGGUGAUGGGUGGAGAUAAUAUAACUGCAGGCAAGGAAUUGGUUGAAAUUACGAAGAGGCAAUUGAAUAGGAGUAUAUAGCCAAAGGAGACAAUAAAGUUUUCUUAGUUACAAAAUAGGAAGUUAAGUUUAAGCCUCAACCAAAAAAUCAAAUACAUUAUUUAACACUGAUCCUGUAAAAAAAUGUCCUGCACUAUUAAAAGUGGCUGUGUGAAGACGUACAACCCAAUUGCGCAAUCUCUAACCCCUUUAGACAUCACAUCUACCGCCAUGUUCGUCAUCCUUGAAGGAGGCAGCAAACUUAUUUAAUAAUAUGAUUUGAAUUAAAUAUAUGUAAUAUUAUUGUACCGCAUUAAUAUUAUGAUUAUAGUAAUUAUUAUUAUUACAAUUUCAACUUAUGAACAGGUUUGCUUUCACUAUAAAGAAUGCAUAUUAACAGUCAAAAUUUAAACAUAUUAGAUAAAAAUAAAUUUUUAAAUAAUUUUACAUAAUAAUAUUUUAAUUAAAAAAUAAAUUUGAGAAAAGAAGAAUGCCACAAAGAAUGAAUAUAUACAUUAUUAUAUUAUAUUAUUUAUGAUAUAAUAUGAUAUUAUUUCUUACAAAUGUUUCGAACAACAUUAGUUACCAUUUAAUCCACAAAGCUUUAAUUUAUAAGUGUCAAAGAAAAAUAGUAAAAUACGAAAGUUAAUAUUUUGUGGAAUGUGAAAAGAUUUAAAAAAGUGAUAUUUAAUUUACAAUUUAGCAUUUAAAUUAAAUUUAUAUAUUAAUUAUUUCAAUACUUACAAUAUCAAUUUAUCUAAAAAAUAUUUUACUCAAACAUUUAUAAAUAAAAAAAGUAUAUAAAUUACAUCCUAGCAUUAGCCUUUUUUUAAACAACUUCAAAGUCAGAGAUUUUAGAAGAACAAGAAAUCGAAGAUUAAAACACCAUAGUUUUAUAGAGCGAUUAAUAUCCAUGAAAUAUAAACAAAUUCUCACAUCCGUAGGGCACUCUCCACCGUGAAACAUUUUAAACUAAAUAUGGCCAUUUUUUUAGUUUUACCUGAUUCCUUUUUCAAUAUAAAUAUGGACCUUCAAUAGCAUAUUAUUCAAGCCUUUGCUCAAAGGGCCAUAAGUGAUAAGCAAUAAACAGCCCCACAACUUCAAAUAAGGUUUUCUUCUUUCUUGCUUUCUUUUCUUCAGGGGAAAGAAAGAGAGAAAAAGAUACUUUUUUUUGUAAAAAAGUUGUUUAAAAAUGGCAAAUAAUGCUAUUAUUGGUAUCUGUACGGUGUUCCUGGUGGCCAUGGUGGUAGCCGUGGUGGUGGGUGUUACGCACAUAAAAAGCAAGAACGAUGGUGAAAAGAUAUCGAGUUCGAACAAAGCUGUGCAAGCCUUAUGUCAACCCACGAAUUAUAAAGAGACAUGCCAGAAAAGCUUGGCGUCGUCAAAUUCUAGCGACGUUAAGGAGCUGAUGAGGACAGGUUUCCAAGCCGGGCUAGUCGAGAUAAAGAACGUAUUGGCCCAUUCAGUGACAGUCCAAGAGUUGAUCAAGGAUGAGAACAACAAAGCGGCACUUGGUGUCUGCCAAUAGGUGUUGGACUUAGCCAUUGAUGACUUUCAAAAGUCUUUCGACAUGCUAGGGGAAUAUGACAUGAGCAAGAUUGGAAAAUACCUUUUGGAACUGAAGACCUGGCUAAGCGGUGCAUUCACGAGUCAACAGACAUGUAUAGACUCAUUUGCGCAAUCAAGUAACGAAUCAUCGCAGAAGAUGCAAUCAAUCUUGAAGACUAGCAUGGAGAUUACUAGCAAUGCUUUAGCGAUGCUUAAUGGGUUAUCCACCAUCGUGAAGGAACUUAACAUUCCAAACGUCGGUAACGUCGACAGCACGGGGUUCAAUCGUAAGCUUUUUUCGGCUGAGGAUAUGCUUGAGUGGAUUAGUCAAGCUGACCGGAAACUCCUUCAAGCAAAACCAAUGGAUUUGAAGCCUAACGUUGUGGUUGCUAAAGAUGGUAGCGGGAAAUAUGAUACUAUUAACAAGGCAUUGGCUGAAGUCCCCGUGAAAAGUCCCUAUCGAUUUGUUAUUCACAUUAAGGCUGGUACUUACAAGGAAAAAAUCAACGUGACCAAGCAGAUGACUAAUGUUAUAUUCAUCGGUGAUGGCCCAACCAAGACCGUCAUCACAAAUGACAUUAGUGUCGCUAAGAAUCCACCGGUUAGAACAUACCGCACUGCAACUGUUGGUAAGCAGUAUUAUAGAUAUAUAUAAGUUUUAGUGGUGAGGUGAGGUGGCUAACUAGUAUAUAUGUAUGUAUGUUUGUGAAAUAUUUUAGGUGUGGAUGGGGCUGGUUUCAUGGCCAAGGACAUUGGAUUCGAUAACUCAGCAGGACCCGAAGGUCAUCAAGCAGUGGCUUUUAGGGCCACUGCUGAUAGGGUCAUCAUGUUCAACUGCCAUUUCACUGGGUACCAAGACACUCUUUACGCUCAUAGAGAGAGACAGCUAUAUACCAACUGUCUCAUUACUGGAACGGUGGAUUUCAUCUUUGGGGAUGCGGCGAGCAUUUUCCAGAACUGUAUGCUUAUCGUGAGGAAGCCAGGGCCUGGCCAAAAUUGCAUGGUUACUACACAGGAAAGGAAUGAUCUUGGAACAAACUCAGCCAUUGUGCUUCAAAACUGCACCAUCUCGGGCGCCCCUGAUUACAUCCAAGUGAAAGAUACGAACAAGGCAUACUUGGGGCGUCCCUGGAAACAAUUCGCUAGGUCUAUCAUAAUGCAAUCUCAGAUCGACGACAUCAUUCAACCAGAGGGUUAUGCCCCCAUGACCGGCACCAUAGGAAUAGACACUUCUUUCAUUGCCGAGUUUGGAAACAGGGGACCCGAUGCCGAUACCAGCCGUAGGGUGGCUUGGAAAGGUAUAAAAAAGAUAGAUAUAAAUGAAGCCAACAAAUGGACUCCUCGCGUCUAUCUUGAAUCCGAGACUUGGGUUCCGAGUUCCGGCAUUCCCUAUAGUCCCGACAUGGUCCUUGGAGUCUAAACAGCUUAUUAUCAAUACCAACGCCAUUAGUAUGCUUAUUAUCAUAUCAUUGUUCUAAUUAUGUCAUUUUUACUAAUUAGUAAACAGUUUUUUUAAUCUUUUAUCUAUCUAUGUAUAUAUGUUGAAUUUAUUGGUUUCCGAGUUGUUGUUUCCAUUCACUUAAUAAUGAUGUUUACAAAACCCAAAAAUUAAGUCAACGUUUAAAUAUUAUUGAACUUAAUUUAAUAAAUAUUUUAGAAGGAUUAUUUGGAUUGAUAAUGUUGUUUUCUUGAUGUAGACACCUUACUUUAAAUAGAUUUAAUAAAAUGAUUAUUAUCAAACUUAAUUACAAGAUUUAAUAAAAAAAUAGUUUAUUAAGUAAUAAUUACUAAUAUAAUAUUAAAAAUUAAUAAAAAAAUCAAUCUUAUUUUAUAUAUAUAUAUUUUUAUAUAUGGAUUUUAGCAAGCAUCCCGCUUAUGGAAUCAAGGAUUUGAUCAAGCGGUCAAUAUUUUUGAAUUUGAGCAAAACAUAGAAGAACAUUGUGUUUAUAAACAUUUAGGGGAUGAAAAUGUGGUCUUUCUCGUUCUAUAUGUCAGGUGAAAUUCUACUAGUUGAGAAUAAUGUAGGGAUAUUGUCAUCGUUUAAACUAUGGUUAACCCAAUAGUUUAAGUGAAGGACUUGGGAGAAGUUAAUUUUGUUCUGGGCAUUCGAAUCCUGAUCGAAAGAACAAAGUGAUAGCACUAUCGCAAGAUUCAUACAUAGCCAAGAUGUAAUAACCUGUUUUUCAGUGGUAUCAGAAAUAGUGGUUUUGGGGCCACAAAUCCGACGAGUAAGUUUAUAAAUAUUAUCAUUUAAUAUUUAUGAGUCAAAUACGGUUUUAAAAAGGUUUUUGAUUUGGUAAUUUAUGUUAUAUAAAUGAUAAAUUAAGUUGAAGUUGUAAAACCCUAAAGUCAAGUAGUUUUAGAAAAUGAGGUAUCGGGACAUCGUUUCUAUAUAUCAAGUUGUAAAUAUUUUUAUAAAUAUUUAUGGAGUAUUAUUAAGGUUGUAUUAAAGUUUCGUUAUGAAAUUUUAAUAUUUAAAAGGUUAAUUAGGUGAAAAGGACUAAAUUGAAAAAUGUACAAAAGUUGAAUGAUAUUAGUUAAAUGGAUCUAAUAGAUAUGGAAAGGUAAAUUCUUGGACCUGGAUGGUAAUUGUACCAUAUUUAAUGUGAGUGGAUAUUCUUAGGAAGGUUGCAUGGUAAAUCUUCUAAAUUUUAAAGGUUAUAAUAUAAUUAAUUAAUAUAAACUAAAAUAACUUAACCAAAAAUUAUCAUCUUCUUCCUUGUUUCAAAUGCUUUAACCAAAUGGUUAUGGUGGGUGAUGAAAACCCAUUCGGCUAGUUUUUUGGGGUGCUUGGUAAGCUAUUUUCACCCAUUUCUUUUAAUUUUUAUGUUUUUGAGAUCGUUGCAACUAGGUCUAGCUAGUUUGUACCUUCGAUUUUGAAACUGUUAAAGAUAUUGAAUUUUUCCAUUGAAGAAUUUUGUGAAUUAAUUUGAAGUGUUAGUUAGUAUUUAAAAGUAUUUUGUUAAAUAAUUUUUGAUGAAUUUCCCGAUUAGGGACUAAAUUGUUAAAAUAAUAAAAAUACAUGGAUUUUAUGUGAAUUUAUUUAUAAAUAUGGGCUGUAUUGGGAGCUAUAAACACUUAGCUAAGCUCAAAAUUGGGUAACAAUGGUUAAUCUACAUGUUUUAGGUUCAGGGACUAAAUUGAAUAAAAGCAAAAUGUUAGAAACAAUUUUGUAAAAAUGUAAAAAAUGACUAAAUUGCAUAAAAUAAUUUUUUUUACUAUCUAUAUUAAUAAAUUGAAUGAAAUUAUUAAUUUAGAUCAAGAUUGAGUGGAAAAUCAAUGAGAAUAAAAAAUUACCAAAAUGCCUAUGUACUUUGACAUUUCUGCAAUUUAGCUAGGUAAAUUUGUACAGUUAGAAUUUAACAUCAAUAUGAAUUUUUGAGUAGAUUAACAUGGUACAAAUUAUAUAUUUAUUUUUAAUUGUUGAUAAUUAAUGGUAAUUUGAUAUAUAAUAUUAAAUUUGAUGCUCGGUUUGGACUGAACGCGGGAUAAAGUACAAUCGUGAUUUGUGUUUUAGGGGUUUAGAGUGGAGAUGGUAUUGGAGGGAGAUGUUUGUAUAUUACCUGCGGUUCAGCAGUUGUUAUGAACUCUCGUGUUAUACUCUCUGUCUGGAGUGUUUCGGUUGGAUUAGCUCUUAUGAGCUUCUGUCCGGCGUGUUUCAGUUGGAUUAGCUCUUAUGAGCUUCUGUCUAGUGUGUUCAGUUGAUCUGACUAUGCACUCUUAUCUGUAAGUUGUUCUUCAAAUGAAAAAUCUAGGUAAGGUAAUAUGCUUAAUGAAUUUGAAAGAUUUGUUAUUUAUUGAAUAUUGAUCUGAACAUAGAUGAAUUCAUCAGUUGAAAUUGUGGAUGCUAGGGAACUCUGUAACACCCCCUAACCCCAAAUUGUUACCAGAACGAGGUUAUGAGGCAUUACCGAACAUAUCAGACAACUUACGAAUAAUUUACCAUUAAUAUAACUUUCAUAGUAUAAUAUAAUAAUUAAGUCCCUAUCUUGAACUCUCGAAGUUCAAACACGUAUUAAAAGUAGAACGGGACUUGUUCGAGUAUUCCAAUUUUUUUUUUAUAAAAAUUUUGGCAGCAUUUCUGCUUAUUUUUACCUAAACCUCCUGCAAAUUCAAACCAAAACAACCAACACCAAUAUUUCACAUUCAUAUACUAAUAUUUAUAUUAUUAACAAAAUUUUAAUUUAAUAAGUAUCAUAGCAUCAUUCAAAAUUGAUUAAAAACUUCAUUCAUUUAACAACUUAAUGUUCAUGUAUCAAAAUAUCAUGUACUUUCUUUACCAUUUCAUUUAACCAUCUAAAUUUUAUAAUUCAUCCUUCACUACCCAAAGUAAUAUACAUAUUCAGGUGACUACCUAUGUACAUGCCACCUUUACCCAAAAGAAAAAUAUACAUCACCAAGUUUGUGUUGGAGUCAGGAUUGUUCUGGAUCCUGAGCCGGGACACUUGAUUCCUACUAACCUGCGCACGGAAACAACCGUACGCUGAGUAUGGAUAUACUCAGUGGUAUUACUAUAAAUCAAGACUAUUUAACAUUAAUAAAUUACAAACAUCAACCAUAAAUUUUAUAAUUAUUUAAACUACUUUUAUGUAAAAUUAUUUUACUUCAUAAAUCUUAAAUUCAUAAUUUAUUUUUCUCAUACUAACUCAAUUCAUAAUUUAGUUCAUACAUUCUUUCUCGUACUUUUCAAUAGUGCUAAAACAAAUAAUCUCAUUUUCAAAAUUUCAUUUCAAUUAUUUACCCUAUUAACAAAGCUCGGACUAUGACAGAUACGCGGAUUCCAUCCAAACACACCAGAAUGUCCAACCCAAACACACCCGGAAUAUUGUAAAUCCUCCAUAACACACCGGUAUAAUAUAUCCUCCCAAACACACCAAUAAGGCAUUAAAUGCCUAUUCAGAUAAACCGAAGUAUAUAAUAACAGAAACAUCCUCUCGGCCGAACUACAAUCUCUUCAUCACAUCACAAAUCCAAUGGCAUGCCAUUUGUAUCGGAUUUAGUCCGACAAGUUAAUAGGGUAUUUUUUUUUCUAAUUUCAAUUUCAUUUACAGAAAAAUUUUCAAUACUCAUUCAAUCCAAAUAUCUAUUAUCUUAAUUCAUAUACAAUUUAAUUUUCACACAAGUGUAUACCAUCAACACCAUACAUUUGUCACAAUUUAUUUAUUUUCAAUCAAUACACUUUUCAAAUAAUCACAUAUUCCAUAAUUUACUUAUUCAAUUCAACUUGAUUCAAUUUAUAUCACUUUCAUUUUCACUCAAUAUUCAUAUCGAUUUCACAUACUUACCUCAAGUCUUAUUUACCAUACAUAACAAUUAAAAUUUCAGCAAUCAAUAAUAAUUAAAAUUUGAAUUAUAGUAAUACACACCGUAAUUCUCCCGUUUUAGUCCUCGAUGACUUUCUCCUUUCCUUUCGAUGCUGAUGCUUCCGGUUCUUUGUUGGCUACGAAAAUAAUAGUAAUUUACAUUAUUAUUUACAGCAUUAAUUAUAAUAAAUAAUUAAAUUUCUAAACAACUCCUACCUUAUUCCCAAUUUAAUCCUAACUAAACUUAAUUAUUUUCUUAAUCCAAUUCACUCUCUUUUUCUAUUCAAAUUUUGUCUAAACUUAUAUUUAACUAUAAAAUUUCCAGCAUAUUUCCCUAAUUUCUAAAUUUCUUCAAUUUAGUCCCUACAACAUAAAACUUAUAGCCUAGUUUACAAUUUAAUCCCUUAAUCAAUUCUAACUUAGAAUUCAUUCAAUUAAAUCCCUAAUUCCAUAAAUUUUCCAACAUGAACCCUACUUGGAAACAUAUGAACUCUUGAACUAUCAACUUAAUUUCAUCAAAAUCUUGUUUCAAAGCUCCAAAAACAUCAAAAUUAACUAAAAAAGACUUAAUUAACUUACCAAAUUAACUCCAAGCUUCAAAUCCUUAGUUUUCUCUUUUAUUUUUCUUUCCCCUUUUCUUUCUCUUUUUCUCCCCUGCUUCCCGUUUUCAACUCUGUUUCUAUUUCCUUUUGUUUCUUUAUUUCUUUAAUUCUUUUAUACUUUAUUAUUUUAUUAACAUAAUAUAAUAUUAAUAUAAUAUAUUAAAAUAUAUUUUACUUUAAUAUUAAGUAAAUUAAUAAUUAUAUAACAAGUGUACAUAUUUAUAUUAUUACAAAUGUCAUUAUCUAAUUUGCUUAUUAAAUAAAAAUCUCAUGAUUUAAUUAAUACAAUUAAUAAUUAUAAAAUAUUUUUAUACUUAAAUUAUAAGUAAUUAAAUAUUUAAAUUACAAAUGUACCCAUACAAUUCUUACACAUGUAUAUUUUAUUAUCAUACAAUUGUCUUCUAUUUAAUUUAUUUAUAAUAUAAUAUCAAUUAAAUAAUCAUAACAAUUUAAUAUAAAACCAUAAUAAUAAUCAUUAUAAUAUAUAAAACCUAAAAAACAUCUUUGAUUUUAUUUCACCAAUAUGCCACCUCAUUUGUAGUCAAUGGCUUAAUUGUCAUUUUAAUCCUUUUUAUUUUCUAUUGCUUUAUAAUUAAACUUUUACCCUUUAUUCAAUUUAAUCCUUUUUAUUACUUACUCUAAAUUAAGCUAAAUUCACUUAAUUAGAUCCUAAUUAGACACACCACUAGGCUCAUAAAUAUUUUAAAUAAUUAUUUUCGAACUUAUUUCACUAAGACGGAGGCCCUAUAACUCACUUUUCCGGUGCCCGUGAAUUUCAGGUCAUUACAUUUCUCCCCCCUUAAUAAAUUUCGUCCUCGAAAUUUACCUGAGAAGAGAUGAGGAUAUUGUACUCUCAUAGUUUCCUCUGGUUCCCAAGUCGCUUCUUCAACAUUAUGAUUUCUCCAUAGGACUUUCACUAAAGGAACCUUUUUAUUUCUUAAUUCUUUCACUUCUCGUGCUAAAAUUUGAACCGGCUCUUCUUCAUAUGAUAGAUCAGGUCGAACUUCAAUAUCUUCUGUAGAAAUUAUAUGAGAAGGAUCUGAUCUAUAUUUCCGUAGCAUCGAAACAUGAAAAACAUCAUGAAUCAUUUGUAAGUCAGAAGGUAAAGCUAAUCGAUAUGCAACUGGUCCAAUUCUUUCCACUAUUUCAUACGACCCAAUAAAACGUGGGGUCAAUUUUCCUUUCCGACCAAAUCUCAAAACUUUUUUCCAAGGAGAAACCUUAAGAAAUACUUUGUCUCCAACUGAAUAUUCAAUGUCCCGACGUUUCAGAUCAGCAUAAGAUUUUUGUCUGUCAAAAGCUGCUUUUAAUCUCUGUUGAAUCUUCUUGACUGUUUCUUCUGUUUCACGAAUCAAUUCUGGCCCAAUUACUUUUCUUUCAUUCAAUUCCGUCCAACAUACUGGUAAUCUACAUUUUCGACCAUAUAACGCUUCAUACGGAGCCAUCUGAAUACUAUAUUGGAAACUAUUAUUAUAGACAAACUCAGCUAGUGGCAAAUAUCGCUCCCAACCUGCUUCAAACUCAAUAAUACAAGUUCGAAGCAUAUCUUCUAGUACCUGAAUUACCCGUUCGGACUGUCCGUCAGUUUGGGGAUGAAAAGCUGUACUGAAACUAAGUCUAGUACUCAACGACUCAUGUAACUGUCUCCAAAAUCUCGAUGUGAACCGAGGAUCUCGAUCUGAAAUUAUUGAUAUCGGAAUGCCAUGUAGUCUAACAAUGUCUCGAAUAUACACAUCUGCAAGCUUCUGCAACGACCAAUCAGUCUUGACUGCUAUAAAAUGUGCUGACUUGGUAAGUCUAUCAACUAUCACCCAAAUAGCAUUCUUUUUGCUUGCUGACAACGGUAAUCCCGUAAUAAAAUCCAUCGUGAUGCGAUCCCAUUUCCAUUCAGGAAUAUUAAUAGGCUGAAGCAAUCCAGUAGGAACCUGAUGUUCUGCCUUUACUCGUUGGCAAGUCAGACAUUUACUUACAAAUUCUACUAUGUCUCUUUUCAUCCCUGGCCACCAGUAUAAUUCUCUUAAAUCUCGAUACAUUUUCGUGCCUCCGGGGUGCAUAGCAAACGAACUAUCAUGAGCUUCACGUAGAAUUAACUCUUUGGGCUCAGAAGUAUUUGGAAUACAAAUCCGAUUUCGAAACCUCAAGCAUCCACAAUCAUCAAUACUAAAAUUUUCUACUAUGCCAUUCUGUACCAUCUCUCUUUUCUUCAAUAAUUUGUCAUCUUCCAACUGAGCUGAUCUAAUCUGAUCAAACAUUACCGAUUUUACUCUUAAUUCGGCCAAAAUACUCCCAUCAUCAUUGAUACUAAGCCGUGAAAACAUUGCUCUUAAUUCAAUUACAGCUUUUCUGCUUAAUGCAUCAGCUACAACAUUAGCUCUUCCCGGAUGAUAGUCUAUAACACAAUCAUAAUCUUUCAGAAGCUCGAUCCAACGCCUUUGUCUCAAAUUCAAUUCCUUCUGAGAAAGAAGAUACUUCAAACUCUUAUGAUCAGUAUAGAUGUAGCAUUUUUCACCAUAAAGAUAAUGUCUCCAAAUCUUCAAUGCAAAAAUCACAGCCGCUAACUCAAAAUCAUGAGUGGGAUAAUUCCUUUCAUGUGAUUUCAAUUGAAGAGAUGCAUAGGCUAUUACCUUCCCAUCCUGCACCAAUACACAACUCAAACCACUCAAAGAAGCAUCACUAUACACUAAAAAUUCUUUACCCGAUUCUGGCAAUGUCAAAACUGGUGCUUCGGUUAACAUUCGCUUCAAUGUUUCAAAACUUUUCUGACAUUGAUCAUCCCAAAUAAAAGGAACAUUCUUCUGCAAUAGUUUCGUCAUUGGUAGUGCUAUCUUCGAGAAUCCAUUUACAAACCUCCUGUAAUACCCAGCUAAACCGAGAAAACUGCGUACCUCCGAUACAUUAUUUGGCACCUUCCACUGAACAAUUGCUUCGAUCUUUUUCGGAUCAACUCGAAUUCCAUCUGCAGAUAUUACAUGUCCCAGAAAUACCACUUCUGAUAACCAGAACUCGCAUUUACUAAGCUUUCCAUAUAACUGUUUCUCUCGUAAAAUUUGUAGAACUAUUCGAAGAUGCUGAUCAUGUUCUGCUUCUGUCUUCGAAUAUACCAAUAUAUCAUCAAUGAAAACCACCACAAACUGAUCUAAAUACAGCUGAAAGAUAUGAUUCAUGAGAUCCAUAAAAGCAGCUGGGGCAUUUGUUAACCCAAAUGGCAUUACCAAGAACUCAUAAUGGCCAUACCUCGUACGAAAAGCUAUUUUCGGUACAUCACUUUCUUUUACCUUCAACUGAUAGUAACCCGACCUUAAGUCAAUCUUCGAAAACACAGAAGCUCCUCUCAACUGAUCAAAUAAAUCAUCAAUGCGAGGCAACGGGUACUUAUUUUUAAUUGUUACCUUGUUCAACUGUCGGUAAUCAAUACAAAGUCGCAUAGAGCCAUCUUUCUUUUUAACAAACAAUACUGGAGCUCCCCAGGGUGAAAUGCUUGGUCUAAUAAAUCCAUGAUCUAGUAAAUCUUGUAACUGCACCUUCAACUCUUUCAACUCAGUGGGCGACAUUCGAUACGGAGGUAUAGAAAUUGGUGUUGUACCUGGAUACACCUCAAUAGCAAAUUCAACCUCUCUGUCAGGUGGUAAGUCCGGUAAUUCUUCUGGGAAUACAUCUGGAAACUCACGUACAGUCCUAAUCUGAUUGCACUAACUCCCAACUGAAUCAGAAUUAAUAACAUAUGCCAAGUAUGCUGGACAACCCUACUGCAGUAAUUUAUUAGCCUAAAUCGCUGAAAUAAUGCGUGUCGAACCACUGGUACGGAUGCCAUUCACUUCAAUUCUAUUCCCAUUUUUUGUCUGAAUACUAAACCUCUUUUUAUAGCAAUCCAAAACUACCCCAUGUUCAUAUAGCCAGUCCAUACCCAAAAUGAUAUCAAAAUCACCAAAAGGCAUGAUCAACAAGUCCACAAGAAACAUUUUAUCAUGUAUUAUUAACGGGCACCUCCGACAUACUCUAUCUACUAACACCGUUUGUCCCAAAGGGCUAGACACUUCUAUAGAAACUUUAGACAUUUCAGAUUCUAAUUUCCCCGAUUCGACUAGUUUUGAAUUUAUAUAUGAGUGUGACGAACCCGGAUCAAUUAAAGCAUAAAUAGGCUCAGAAUACAAUAGAAAUAUACCUGUAACAACAUCAUGUGCAUCGCCCUCCUCACGGGUCCGGACUACGUAAGCUCUGGCCGGCGCUCUGGCCUCUGACUGUUGUGUAACUAUAUUGCUGUUUCUUUUGACACCUCCACCUCUAGACACAGAACCCAAACCACCCGUACUAGAUCCUCUGCCACGAACAGUAGGUACUGAUCUUUGAGAUGUUGCAGGUGUGGCACUUUCACCUUUCGGACAAUCUCGAAUGAAAUGAUCUGUGGCCCCACAUCGAAAACAUCGUCGAGUUAUCCUCCAACAUUCACCUAAAUGUUUCUUUCCGCAAUGCUCACAGUCUAGAAUUUCUAUACUUCGGGAUGGACCUCUCACACUACUAGUAGAUAUUGUCAUCUCUUUACCUCUGCUUCUACCACUUCUAUCUGAACUAAAGCUGGAUCUCCAGUCACUUCUUGAUUCUCUGAAUCUCUUCGGUAAUGGAUUAGAACUAGUAGUUCCCAUACAUUUCCCAGCUGAUUUACCAAUUUCUGAUUUUUUAUCCAGACCCAGUACUUGUUCUAUCAUUUUUGCUCGCUCAACCAGAUCAACAAGUUCAGUAAUUCUGAGACUUACCAAUUGAAUCUUGAUUUCAUCUCGCAGUCCCCGUAGAAAUCGUUUACAACUAUCAGCCUCGGUUGGAACAUAUUCUAAAGCAUACCUGCUCAAUCUAGAGAACUCUCACUCAUAAUCCAGUACUGACAUAUUCCCCUAUUUCAACACUAAAACUCUUGCUUUUUCUCUUCGAUGUACAAUUCCCUAAUAUACUUCUUCUUAAAUUCUUUUUGAAACAAGUCCCAAGUUACCUGAUCAUCCGGCAAAUGUCUAACCACAGAUUCCCACUAGAGAUACGCUUCUCCUUGUAACAGUGAUACAGCACAUAUCAGACUCUCUCAGGGGGUGCAGUCUAAUUGUUGCAAAACUCUUUUUGUUGUUUCUAUCCAAUUUUCAGCAACGGAUGGAUCAGCUCCUUUUAAUCCCUGAAAUUCCGUGGCACCAUAUUUUCGUAGCUCUUUAAUUGGGGCCUGUCUGACAGUAGGUACAGAUGUAGUAGCAGGUAUAGCUCUCACUAUGUGCUGUAAUGCAUCAGCUAUAUCUCUUAACACUUGAGAGGUAUUUCUUUCUCUCCCUACGUUAGGAGAUUGAUUAUUUAACGGAUUCACACCAGGUGUAACAGAUUCAGUUUCUUCUAAUUCUCGACUUCCAGUAUACAUUUCCUGUUCAACAUUAUCCAUUCUUUCAUCUGACAUUUUAUCUAUAAAACAAAAUCAAAUAAAUACAUUAGCAUCCAAAAAUCCCGACUCAAUUUCGACUCGACAGUGGCAUGUACUUCUAAACUCACUUCUGAGCCCAAUUUAGCCCGAGAAUCGACUAAACCUGAUAACUCUGAUACCAACAAUUGUAACACCCCCUAACCCCAAACCGUUACCGGAACGAGGUUAUGAGGCAUUACCGGACAUAUCAGACAACUUACGAAUAAUUUACAAUUAAUAUAACUUUCAUAGUAUAAUAUAAUAAUUAAGUCCUUAUCUUGAACUCUCGAAGUUCAAACACGUAUUAAAAGUAGAACGGGACUUGUUCGAGUAUUCCAAUUUUUUUUUAUAAAAAUUUCGGCAGCAUUUCUGCUUAUUUUUACCUCAACCUCCUGCAAAUUCAAACCAAAACAACCAACACCAAUAUUUCACAUUCAUAUACUAAUAUUUAUAUUAUUAACAAAAUUUUAAUUUAAUAAGUAUCAUAGCAUCAUUCAAAAUUGAUUAAAAACUUCAUUCAUUUAACAACUUAAUGUUCAUGUAUCAAAAUAUCAUAUACUUUCCUUACCAUUUCAUUUAACCAUCUAAAUUUUAUAAUUCAUCCUUCACUACCCAAAGUAAUAAACAUAUUCAAGUGACUAAAUAACACCUAUGUACAUGCCACGUUUACCCAAAAGAAAAAUAUACAUCACCAAGUUUGUGUUGGAGUCGGGAUUAUUCUGGAUGCUGAGCCGGGACACUUGAUUCCUACUAACCUGCGCACGGAAACAACCAUACGCCGAGUAUGGAUAUACUCAAUGGUAUUACUAUAAAUCAAGACUAUUUAACAUUAAUAAAUUACAAACAUCAACCAUAAAUUUUAUAAUUAUUUAAACUACUUUUAUAUAAAAUUAUUUUACUUCAUAAAUUUUAAAUUCAUAAUUUAUUUUUCUCAUACUAACUCAAUUCAUAAUUUAGUUCAUACAUUCUUUCUCGUACUUUUCAAUAGUGCUAAAACAAAUAAUCUCAUUUUCAAAAUUUCAUUUCAAUUAUUUACCCUAUUAACAAAGCUUGGACUAUGACAGAUACGCGGAUUCCAUCCAAACACACUAGAAUGUCCAACCCAAACACACCCGGAAUAUUGUAAAUCCUCCAUAACACACCGGUAUAAUAUAUCCUCCCAAACACACCAAUAAGGCAUUAAAUGCCUAUUCGGAUAAACAGAAGUAUAUAAUAACAGAAACAUCCUCUCGGCCGAACUACAAUCUCUUCAUCACAUCACAAAUCCAAUGGCAUGCCAUUUGUAUCGGAUUUAGUCCGACAAGUUAAUAGGGUAUUUUUUUUUCUAAUUUCAAUUUCAUUUACAGAAAAAUUUUCAAUACUCAUUCAAUCCAAAUAUCUAUUAUCUUAAUUCAUAUACAAUUUAAUUUUCACACAAGUGUAUACCAUCAACACCAUACAUUUGUCACAAUUUAUUUAUUUUCAAUCAAUACACUUUUCAAAUAAUCACAUAUUCCAUAAUUUACUUAUUCAAUUCAACUUGAUUCAAUUUAUAUCACUUUCAUUUUCACUCAAUAUUCAUAUCGAUUUCACAUACUUACCUCAAGUCUUAUUUACCAUACAUAACAAUUAAAAUUUCAGCAAUCAAUAAUAAUUAAAAUUUAAAUUAUAGUAAUACACACCGUAAUUCUCCCGUUUUAGUCCUCGAUGACUUUCUCCUUUCCUUUCGAUGCUGAUGCUUCCGGUUCUUUGUUGGCUACGAAAAUAAUAGUAAUUUACAUUAUUAUUUACAGCAUUAAUUAUAAUAAAUAAUUAAAUUUCUAAACAACUCCUACCUUAUUGCCAAUUUAAUCCUAACUAAACUUAAUUAUUUUCUUAAUCCAAUUCACUCUCUUUUUCUAUUCAAAUUUUGUCUAAACUUAUAUUUAACUAUAAAAUUUCUAGCAUAUUUCCCUAAUUUCGAAAUUUCUUCAAUUUAGUCCCUACAACAUAAAACUUAUAGCCUAGUUUACAAUUUAAUCCCUUAAUCAAUUCUAACUUAGAAUUCAUUCAAUUAAAUCCCUAAUUCCAUAAUUUUUCCAACAUGAACCCUACUUGGAAACAUAUGAACUCUUGAACUAUCAACUUAAUUUCAUCAAAAUCUUGUUUCAAAGCUCCAAAAACAUCAAAAUUAACUAAAAAGGACUUAAUUGACUUACCAAAUUAACUCCAAGCUUCAAAUCCUUAGUUUUCUCUUUUAUUUUUCUUUCCCUUUUUCUUUCUCUUUUUCUCCCCUACUUCCCGUUUUCAACUCUGUUUCUAUUUCCUUUUGUUUCUUUAUUUCUUUAAUUCUUUUAUACUUUAUUAUUUUAUUAACAUAAUAUAAUAUUAAUAUAAUAUAUUAAAAUAUCUUUUACUUUAAUAUUAAGUAAAUUAAUAAUUAUAUACCAAGUGUACAUAUUUAUAUUAUUACAAAUGUCAUUAUCUAAUUUGCUUAUUAAAUAAAAAUCUCAUGAUUUAAUUAAUACAAUUAAUAAUUAUAAAAUAUUUUUAUACUUAAAUUAUAAGUAAUUAAAUAUUUAAAUUACAAAUGUACCCAUACAAUUCUUACACAUGUAUAUUUUAUUUCCAUACAAUUGUCUUCUAUUUAAUUUAUUUAUAAUAUAUUAUCAAUUAAAUAAUCAUAACAAUUUAAUAUAAAACCAUAAUAAUAAUUAUUAUAAUAUAUAAAACCUAAAAAAAAUCUUUGAUUUUAUUUCACCAAUAUGCCACCUCAUUUGUAGUCAAUGGCUUAAUUGCCAUUUUAAUCCUUUUUAUUUUCUAUUGCUUUAUAAUUAAACUUUUACCCUUUAUUCAAUUUAAUCCUUUUUAUUACUAACUCUAAAUUAAGCUAAAUUCACUUCAUUAGAUCCUAAUUAGACACACCACUAGGCUCAUAAAUAUUUUUAAUAAUUAUUUUCGAACUUAUUUCACUAAGACGGAGGCCCUAUAACUCACUUUUCCGGUGCCCGUGAAUUUCAGGUCAUUACAAACUCUCAUGGUUGAUUAUUAUUGUUUGAACUGUUGUAUUUACUUCGGUAAGAUUUAUCGUUUAAUAUGUCGAACUUACUAAGCUUCUUUAAGCUUACUUAUAUUUUUUAAUAUUAUUGUAGAUUCUCGGAAGGUUGGACGACCGAAUCAGCACUCAGGUCACACUAUCCAACUCAAUUCGAUAGUUUUUGGAAUGUUUAAUUUAGCUUAUAUGGCAUGUAUAGGCUCUUGUGUGAUUAUCGUUAAUGUUUUGGUUUAUAUAAAAACUAUAGAUGAUUUUUUGUGUAAAUGGUCAACUUAUAUAAUAUAUGAGAAUGAGGUAUAGUUUAUAUGCUAAUGUGAAUGAUAUGUAUUAAAGAAAUGUUGUGAUUGAGAUACCUUUGAUAGGUAUUUUGGAUAGGUAUUGCUUGAAUGAAUUGAUAAUUAUUUUGAUGUAUAAUUAUAUAUACUUGUGGUACCAAUGAGGGUACAUUGGUUAGGCACUUAAUAGGUUGUUUUAGUGUGUUUUUGGCUCGAUUAAAGUCAUUUUGAUUUGGCAUUUUGGUUGGCAUUUGAGUUUCUUAAGGUCCAAGCAAACUUGAAAUGCUAAUCUUGUGUUUUAAGGUUCAUUUUGGGUACACAUGGUCUGAGACACGGGCGAGUGUCUCAACCUUGUGUGACACACGGCCAUACGACACUAUCGUGUGUCCCCUGUAGGUUAAAGGCAUGCAAGUCAGCGAGUUACAUGGCCUAAGAGACAGGCGUGUGUCACAGUCGUAUGACCCCGGUAGUCCAAAUUUUUCAACUUUUUCCUAAACUUUCCAAAUAUUUCUGAUUUAGUCCUGGAUUGAUUCUUUUAUAUUCUUAGAGUCUCAAGGACUCAAUUAAGGGAUGUUAUGAAUGUAUUUGAAUUAAUUUAUAAUAUUUAUUGUAUUAGUGUAUGAAUUGAAUGGUUUACUGUUUCAUUUUUUUGGUAAUGCUUCGUAACUCUGUUACGACACCAAAUACGAGUUAGGGGAGUUACACAAGAUAUUGGAGAGCUGUGCUAUAACUGAUUCAAAGAAGGGUAAUCAACCUUCUAAUAUUGAGAUUUCACCUCUCUUUGGAGGAUUGUUCUAAGACAGUGGAAGAAAGAGAGAACAUGUGAAAUGUUCAUUAUGCUUCAACAAUAGGAAGUCUCAUGUAUGUUAUGUUGUGUAUGCAUCCAAAUAUCUAUUUUGCUAUAGGGUUGGUGAGUUGAUAUUAGGCGAAUCCAAGACCAAGAAAUUGGCAAAUAGUUAUGCAUAUACUCAAGUAUUUACAAAGAAUAAAGGAUUUUAUGCUUGUGUAUUAUGGAAGAGAUCUUACUCUUAUUGGAUAGACUGAUUCUGACUUCCAAACGUGUCGAGAUUUGAGGAAAUCAAUAGCAGGCUGUGUUGUUGUCCUAGGUGAUCUACUUAAUUUGAUACGUCAAACUAAACUUUCUAAUACACUUAAGGAGCUUAUCUUAAAACAAUUUAAGUGUCUUUUAUAUGGUUUUUUUUAUUUUUAUUUUUGUUUUUAAUAAUUUUUUAAUUAGUUUCAAGUCAUUUCUGACACCCAAAUUGGCCAAUUGUGGCAUGGGAAACCUAACAAGUUGAUUAAGUGAUAUAGGGAGUUGACGGUGGCCCGAACAGAAAGAAAACAUCACCUACAAUGGGGUAUCACGAUAUCAAAGCAUGGAAGUGUAAUACCCUUGAAAAAACUGAAAUGAAGAAAAUCGAGGCCGGCUACUAUGACAUCGCGGUACCAAGACAUCUCAAGACCAUCCAUUCCCAGAUUGUUAGGGGUAUCACGAUAUUCAAGUUUGGGUAUCAUAAUAUCGCUGCCUAACGGAUGAAAAAACUGGAAAGGCAAUUUUAUGUCCGACAAACUUAAGUUUAUUUUUCACUUAAUGGUAAAUUAGUCAAUGCUAGAUUACAUAGUAAUAGACUAUAAAUACAACUUUAUAAGCCUUUCAUUUCAAAUUUUAUUAUUAUCCUUACCCGUUAGUUAAAAAAUAAGUUACUUGUCCAAUUGUUAAGUGUUAGUGAAAUUGUCUUUAAAACCCGAGUCUGAAUCCCCUCCCUCGCAUAAUUUUUAUCUUUUUUUGUAUUUUUGCCCAAAAACCCUAGGUGUUGUCGUCCGAUGUUGUAACCCUAGGUACAUAUUGUAUUUUUUUCUUUUCUUUUCAGCCUCAUUUGCUCACCCUAUCUGCGUCCUACCUUCUCUCUUCCCAUCAUUUCUUCAAUAAUUCUUUUCUCUUAUCUUUUUUAUUGCCUCCCCUUGAAACCUCAUAUUUUCUCUUUCAUUGACGUCGUCCUAGUUGAUCAGCCACCACUACUAUUGCCCCUUUUGCUUCUCCUCUCCUUCUCUCAUUUUCUCUCAUUCUUUUGCUGACGAAACCACCAUUCAUUUUUGGUCAAAUCUUUUUUGGCCCUCUGCAAGUGAUGAAUCCAUUUUGUGAUUAUUUGUCAUCAAAGGUCUGAGAUCCGCGAAGUGUAAGUUGUUUAUUAGUCAAAUCUAAAUACAUAUUUCUUUUCUAUAAUGGUUGAAUCUAUCAAGAGUCCAUGGCUAAUUCUCAAAUGUGUUAUUUUUGUGUUUUUUAUUUAAGGUUCAUAUUCAAAUCACUCAGAUCAAUGUGACAUCAAACAUUAUUUGUAUCUUCGUCUUAAGCCGAAAUAGUGUAUGUGGUGAAUCCAAAAAUCAUAUAUGAAUUGCCAUUGUUUUCUCUGAUUUGGCCGAACCUUAUAAGGUGAUUAUUGGCUAAUUUCUAACAAUUUUUCCUUGUGUUAGGUACAAAUUAAACUAGAUUUAAUCAAAUCUGAAGCAUAGGAGCUGCAGACUAGUGUUAGUACUUUAGAUAUGCAUUAUUCAGGUAUGGGUCCUAACUUUGUAUGUUUGGUGAUUGUUGAAAUCAUGUUUGUACUUUAUUGGCAUUGGUCGAAUGUUCUAGGGCCUUAAAGUGUAAAUAACCAAGUGUGUAAGUGCUAUAAGUGUUAACCAAUUCUAUGCAUAUUGUUAUUGGUUGAUUAGCUAAAUGCAUGUUAUUACAUGUACUGUAUUGUUAAGCAUGUUGAUUGUUACUAUAUAAAUGGAUUGCAAAUAUAGCAUGCCAUUGAUUGAUACAUUGUUUAUUGCUUGCAUUAAAAAAAACAUGUCACUGAUUGAUAUUAUUUUUAUCGAAUUAAAUUGUUACACAUGCCAUUGUUAUUGAAAUUGUUAUUGAAAAGCAUGAUAUGCUACACUAUUGGUAUGCCAUAAUGCAUUGCAUGGGGAUUGGGAUUGAUUGAUGAUGGAGGAGGUCCGUGGAGUACCGGCAGUUUAUCCAUCAUAUUAUACUGGCAAUUGAAGUAAUGUUCGGAGUACUGACGGUUUAUCCGCAAAGUACUAGCGAUUUAUCCACAAAUUAUUGGCAGUCUAAUUGAAAAAAUUGUUAAUGGUGGUUUAUCCACAUUGAGCCACGACUCUUACUAUUUUGGUGUUCUAAUGAUGAUCUCUGGGGAACUCAUGGUGUGUAGCAGAUGGAUGGGUAGGAAAUAUACAUUGUUUUCACAUGAGCAUGCCAAUGUAUAUAUAAUGUACUUUUAUGAUGUCAUGCUCUACUAUGAUCUAAGAAAUGUUGCUGGCUGUAUGCUUUACUGUAGUUUGAAUGUCUACAUGUAUAUAUAAUGUUUACUAAGUUUAAGACUCGUGUUGAGCUUUUUACAGCUCACCCCCAUAAUUUUAUCCUUACAGAUAAUCCUUGAGGUUAGGAUCGGACACGACAUUUGGAGGUUUCAUCUCAAUUUUAUUUAAUAAAGCAAUUUAAAUUUUACUUUAUUUUGUUAUGGUUUUUGGGACUGUAAUUUUGUUAAUUUUGGGUUGUGACAUGGGUUCUUUUUAAGGUUGAAUUUCUGCAUGCAUUCAAUUCAUUAAACUGAAAAAACCUAAUAAAUUUGCUUAAUAUCAUACUAAAUAAGGUUUAAAGUAAAAACUGAUGGUUUCAAUUUUUCUGAUGCGAAACAAGGAAAGGAGUUAUGAAAAGCAUACAAAAAAACAAAAAGCAAACAAGUUUACCCAAAAAUGCCACAAGCAAACAAGUUUACCCAAAAAUGCCACAACACAUAUUAAAUUUAGAACCUUAAUAUUACCUCGACUUAAAAUCUGAUGUCUUUUAUAAAUAUAUGACAAUUAAUCUAAGUUUUCUAAAAAUCAAAAAAAUAAAUGUUACGGGAACUGAAUGACUUUAUUAGGCCAUUUCAGUCGCUAAUGUAACUUUCAAUAUCUAAUCAAAAUGUUUGGAUCGAGUUAGGGAGGAUAUCAUUGCGGUUGAAAAUUUGAAGCAAUUGGAAAAAUGCCACAACACAUAUUAAAUUUAGAACCUUAAUAUUAACUCGACUUAAAAUCUGAUGUCCUUUAUAAAUAUAUGACAAUUAAUCUAAGUUUUCUAAAAAUGAACUGAAUGACUUUAUUAGGCCAUUUCGGUCGCCAAUGUAACUUUCAAUAUCUAAUCAUAAUGUUUGGAUCGAGUUAGGGAGGAUAUCAUUGCGGUUGAAAAUUUGAAGCAAUUGGAAAAAUAAAUAUUACUAUUGACAAGAAAGUGUUAUCAAAUGUAAGAGAAUCUCUUGAAUUAUGGGCUGGUAAUGGAAGAAAGUCAAAUAUUGAAGGUGACAUGAAAGGGAUGACGUUGCUUGGUAUUGAUAACAUGGGUGUAAACGAGACAGAUGAAGUGGAAGUAAGUAACCGAGGCAAAGAAGGUGAGUGUGCAAGUCCAAUUUUAGAGAUGGAUCAGACACUAGCGUUCAGCCAUUCAAAUCAGAAUCGAGGUUACGUUGAAACAACUGAGGUGAUAGGUAAAGAUAAUAUGACUGCAGGCAAGGAAUUGGUUGAAAUUACAAAGAGGAUAUUGUAGAGGACUAUAUAGUCAAAGGAGACAACAAAGUUAAGAAAAUUGAGAAAGAAGAAACUAACGGCCUGUGUUGAACACAUUCCGACUUCAAAAACAGGAAGAACACGUUGAAGUUCGGUAAGAUUGCGGAAUUACAAGUUGGUGGAGAUGAGGAUGAAGUUUUGAGACAUUUGGCAGCAAUCAGAGUUAGCUCAGUUCAAAGAAAGUUGAAGUUUUAUUUUGUUUUUUCUUUGAUGUACCAGUCAAUACCCUCAAACUUUCUUCUCUGAACCCUUCCUAAUGUUUCCCAUGAAUCCCCGACGCUAGCAUGCAAACUAUCUUAUGUUUCUCUAAAAUAAGAUCUUCUCUCGAUUUUGGAUGCUCUUGGGAUUCAUUGCCAAAGUCUGACUAAUAGAUGAAACCAUGGUGUUUGAAACUUCUCCCCAUCUCAAGGCUCUAUACGGUUUCUGCAUCUAGGUUUUUUAAACACUAACAAUAGUAUCUUACAUGCUAAGUCUCGAAGGAAACAAAGAAUUCUUUUGGAUCAUUUAUUUCGAUUUUUCUCAUAUGUCUUGUUUCUCUUUGUCCAGAGUUCCAUUAUUUUCAUCCCAAGCUUUCACUAUGAUAAAAAAAUAUAUUAAACUGAGGUGAAAGUAAUGGAGAGCAAAUACAUAAAAAAAUAUAUAAAAUAAAUUGAAGAUGGAAAGUGACUAUCCUAUGCACAUAAAAAUAUUAAAAAUUUGAUAAGAAAUAUUAAAUAUAAAAAAUAGAAUUUAAUAACACGAAAUUAUUUGAAUUAAAUAUAUGUAAUAUUAUUGUAUCGCAUAAUUUUACAUGAUAAUAUUAUGAUUAUAACAAUAAUUAUUACAAUUGCUACUCAUGCACAGGUUUGCUUUCACUAUAAAGAACGCAUAAUAAAAGUUAAAUUUUAAACAUAUUAGAUAAAAAUAAAUAAAUAAUAAUGCAUUUUAUAAUAUUAUUUUUAAAUAAUUUUAAAUAUUAAUAUUUUAAUUAAAAAUAAAUUUGAAAAAAAAAAGUAUGCCACAAAGAAUGAAUAUAUAUACCUUCUUAUAUUGUAUUAUAUUAUUUAUGAUAUGAUAUGAUUUAUUACAAAUGUUUCAAACAACGUUAGUUACCAUUUAAUCUAUAAUUUAUAAGUGUCAAAAAAACUCCUAAAAUAUGAAAGUUAAUCUUUUGUGAAAUGUGAAAAAAUUUUAAAAAAACUAAUAUUUAAUUUACAAUUUAGCAUUUAAAUUACAUUUAUAAAUUAAUUAUUACGAUACUUAAAAUAUUAGUUUAUCUAAAAACUAUUUUACUCAGCCAAAUAUAUAAAAAAAAAGGUAUAUAAAUUAAAUCCUAGCCUUAGCUUUUUUUUGAAAAAUUUCAAAGCACGAGAUUUUCAAAGAAUAAGAAAAAGAAGAUUAAAACACCAUAAUUUUUAUAGAGCGAUUAAUAUCCAUGAAAUUUAAACAAAUUCUCACAUCCGUAGGGCAUUCUCCACCAUGAAACAUUUUAAACUAAAUAUGGCCAUUUUUAGGGUUUUAACUGAUUCAUUUUUUAAUAUAAAUACGGAACUUCAAUAUAUAUUAUUCAAGCUUGUGCUCAAGGGGCCAUAAGUGAUAAGCAAUAAGCAGCCCCACAACUUCAAAUAAGGUUUUCUUCUUUCUUGCUUUCUUUUCUUCAGGGGAAAGAAAGAGAGAAGAAGAUAAUUUUUUUGUAAAAAAGUUGUUUAAAAAUGGCGAAUAAUGCUAUUAUUGGUAUCUGUGCGGUGUUCCUGGUGGCCAUGGUGGUAGCCGUGGUCGUGGGUGUUACGCACAUAAAAAACAAGAACGAUGGUGAAGAGAUAUCGAGUUCGAACAAAGCUGUGCAAGCCCUAUGUCAACCCACAAAUUAUAAAGAGACGUGCCAGAAAAGCUUGGCGUCGUCAAAUUCUAGCGACGUUAAGGAACUGAUAAGGACAGGUUUCCAAGCCGGGCUGGUCGAGAUAAAGAACGUGUUGGCCCAUUCAGUGACGGUCCAAGAGUUGAUCAAGGAUGAGAACAACAAAGCGGCACUUGGUGUUUGCCAAGAGGUGUUGGACUUAGCCAUUGAUGACUUUCAAAAGUCAUUCGACAUGCUAGGGGAAUACGACAUGAGCAAGAUAGGAAAAUACCUUUUAGAACUAAAGACCUGGCUAAGCGGUGCAUUCACGAGUCAACAGACAUGUAUAGACUCAUUCGCGCAAUCAAGCAACGAAUCAUCGCAGAAGAUGCAAUCAAUCUUGAAGACUAGCAUGGAGAUUACUAGCAAUGCUUUAGCAAUGCUUAAUGGGUUAUCCACCAUCGUGAAGGAACUUAACAUUCCAAAUGUCGGCAACAUCGACA
RNAcentral lists this long non-coding RNA (40900 nucleotides) under Gossypium barbadense (sea-island cotton). RNAcentral describes it as "long non-coding RNA (GBAR_LNC008642)". The record is from RNAcentral. Lineage: Eukaryota; Viridiplantae; Streptophyta; Magnoliopsida; Malvales; Malvaceae.